Molecule: long non-coding RNA, 355 nt
Filed under: Hordeum vulgare
Lineage: Eukaryota; Viridiplantae; Streptophyta; Magnoliopsida; Poales; Poaceae
Description: long non-coding RNA (HVUL_LNC015128)
Source: RNAcentral
UCAUCCAAGCCAUCACCGUCCAGCAAGCCUAUGAUGAGAUUAGUCACGAACGGUGAAGAGCAUUGUUGUCGUUUCUAUAUAGGGGGUACCCUGACGGCAUAUGCCAGGGGAUGGCUAAUCGAGGUGAGGGAAAGGCUGUCGUGGAGGACUCGGGACGGGAUAGGGUAAUAGUAUGCGGUGGUUUACCCAGGUUUGGGGCUCUCCGGAGAGAUAAUACCCUACUCCUGCAUUUGUGUACAUGAUGUAUCUUGGUAGUACAAGGUUGCUCCUAGAGCUGUAUUAGAGGAGGAAGAGAGCUGAGUGCCUCCUUCCUGGCCUCAUGUCUGAGUGUGUGUAUGUGGGGGAGUGAGAGCCU